Daucus carota subsp. sativus is the source of this 1531-nucleotide long non-coding RNA. RefSeq lists it as uncharacterized. The transcript has 6 exons. Lineage: Eukaryota; Viridiplantae; Streptophyta; Magnoliopsida; Apiales; Apiaceae. The record is from RefSeq and is a predicted model, not a curated record.
GACGAGGUUGGAACCCUUAACAUCGCAAGAAGGUAGCAUAACAUCUAUCUAUAUAUAUUAUAGCAGAACAGGUAGAUGCAAAACCUGGCUCCUGAGCAAAAAAAAUAGCGCCAAACCUAUUUCCGAGCCUGGCCCUGUCUGAGAUAAAAAAAAAAAAAAAAGGCGCCAAGCCUACCUCCGAGCCUGGCACUGUGUUCUUUCUAGACUAAACUUGGUUCCAGCUGGUUUCUUCAAUCCCCUCCUGUUCUCCGCUUAAUCUAGCUGCUAUUUUCUCCAGUGGCGUAGCGUUUUCCUCUACUCUAUGUCCCGUCUGUCAGUUCCACCUUCUCCGUCGCGCUAUCUCCGUCUGUCCCUCCUUUUUUGCUUCUACAUCUCUGGUUCGGUUUCGUUGGCCGUUUUCUUCACACGGGAUCUCGUUUCGUUCCGCCGGAAGAGGCAAUUGAGUUGGUGCUCUGGCACAACAAAUGGCUUAAUUGAGUGGUGAGAUCUGGGCUGAGAAAGCAUUCUUAAACAAGAUAGCUCGCCGCACCCUGCAUUUUAAGGUUGGACUGAGCUUGCAUUUGCCUGGCUGGUUUAUUGUUUUUGACGUCUCAGUGCCGGAUGCUAAUCCUUUCUGCAAGGGAAUUUGUAUAAAACUAUUGGAGGCUCGAUACAGACCUAUCACAUUUCAAAUUGGCCGCGUAAGUCACCCUUACAGAUUUAUGGAACAACAGGCGAGAAAAAGAGGGUGGCCAAGGCUCCUUGUCACCGCAGAUGUGGUGGAGCGGAGAAAGAGUUCCAAGCGGUUACAAAAUGCCAAACGCGGUUGCAUACAAGUUUAGGAGAAGAGGCAUCACAGAGUGGGUGUUCCGUCGAUUCUCCAAACAUAAAUGAAUCUCCUGCUGCCGGACCUUCAAAUGCGAGCAGCUGUCAACACUUAAAUGAUGCUUCUGUGAUGGGGCAUGCAAAUGCAAAAGAAACCAGUAUAGGGAAAGUAUGAGAGAGAAUAUAUGAAGUCAGAAGAGUUCCAGAAUCAAUUGAAGUGGAUUGUUCAGGAACUUCUAGCAGACCAGGAAUGGAGGCGCAGGAAAAUACAGAUGAGGGUAUGCUGGAUAUUAAGGUUCUUAUGUUUGGGUUGGUACCUUCUUUGUUCAUAAGGUAAACUUUCUUCCCUUUGAUGCCUGCAUAGAUAUCAGAAGAGGAAGGUAGAUAACAGAAUAAUGAGAAAGAAACAAAAGUAAUGUGGAAAGGAAAGCGGGAGCACGAGGAACAGUGGGAAGGAACAAGCGAAGAUAGGGUUUGUCCCUCUUCAUACAGUUGUGAUUAUGGACUUCUAGCUUGUGAAUUAUUGCUAAAAAAUAGGCAAAAUUUAUUAAUUGGUUCGUGAUAUUUAUCAUCAAUUACGCUCGGUGAGCACGAGAAGUAACAUAGGUGACUAUAUAGUAUAUACUUGACCCGCGCUUGAAUGAGUUUCAGGCCGAGUCUAAGACUUGGCAGUGAUUAGCAAGACUGAGUUGAUCUGUCCAAAUUGGUGAGAAAUUGCAUAUUCUUA